Molecule: ribosomal RNA, 144 nt
Filed under: Betaproteobacteria bacterium RBG_16_64_18
Lineage: Bacteria; Pseudomonadati; Pseudomonadota; Betaproteobacteria
Description: partial 16S ribosomal RNA
Rfam family: Bacterial small subunit ribosomal RNA
Source: RNAcentral
GAUUAAACUGAAGAGUUUGAUCCUGGCUCAGAUUGAACGCUGGCGGCAUGCUUUACACAUGCAAGUCGAACGCGAAAGGGGGCAACCCUGAGUAGAGUGGCGAACGGGUGAGUAAUGCAUCGGAACGUGUCCUGUAGCGGGGGA